This 254-nucleotide ribosomal RNA is filed under the name uncultured bacterium. RNAcentral's name for it is "partial 16S ribosomal RNA". It matches the Rfam family "Bacterial small subunit ribosomal RNA", at positions 524 to 776 of the family's 1533-position model. The record is from RNAcentral.
CACGUAGGCACCAAGCGUUGUCCGGAUUUAUUGGGCGUAAAGAGCUCGUAGGCGGUUCAGUAAGUCGGGUGUGAAAACUUUGGGCUUAACCCAAAGCGUGCAUCCGAUACUGCUGUGACUUGAGUACGGUAGGGGAGCGGGGAAUUCCUAGUGUAGCGGUGAAAUGCGCAGAUAUCAGGAGGAACACCGGUGGCGAAGGCGGAUCUCUGGGCCUUACCUGACGCUGAGGCGCGAAAGCUAGGGGAGCAAACAGG